UAUAAGAGAUCUUACCUGCCCGGUGAUAUAUUUUUAACGGCCGCGGUAUUUUGACCGUGCUAAGGUAGCGCAAUCACUUGUCUUUUAAAUGAAGACCUGUAUGAAUGGUGGAACGAGGGCUUAACUGUCUCCCUUUUCAAGUCAAUGAAAUUGAUCUGUCCGUGCAGAAGCGGACAUAAAAAUACAAGACGAGAAGACCCUUUGGAGCUUAAGAUAAAAAGUCAAUUGUGUCCAAAUUACCAAUUAAAAAUAAUUAAACUAAACAACACCUGACUGGCAUCUUCGGUUGGGGCGACCGCGGGGGAAAAAACAACCCCCGCGUGGAAUGGGGCUUCCUAAAACCAAGAGGGACACCUCUAAGUCACAGAACAUCUGACCUAAAGAUCCGGCAACUAGCCGAUCAACGAACCAAGUUACCCUAGGGAUAACAGCGCAAUCCCCUCCGAGAGUUCAUAUCGACAAGGGGGUUUACGACCUCGAUGUUGGAUCAGGACAUCCUAAUGGUGCAGCCGCUAUUAAGGGUUCGUUUGUUCAACGA
Molecule: ribosomal RNA, 538 nt
Filed under: Iguanodectes geisleri
Lineage: Eukaryota; Metazoa; Chordata; Actinopteri; Characiformes; Iguanodectidae
Description: partial 16S ribosomal RNA
Rfam family: Bacterial large subunit ribosomal RNA
Source: RNAcentral